Molecule: non-coding RNA, 230 nt
Organism: Pelobates cultripes (western spadefoot toad)
Lineage: Eukaryota; Metazoa; Chordata; Amphibia; Anura; Pelobatidae
Source: the annotation of a GenBank genome assembly
CCCAUCCUAAAAAAGCUAUCCCUAGACCCAUCUUCCUCUUCCAACUAUCCUCCCAUAUCCCGGCUUCCUUUUUUCUCAAAACUUCUAGAAAGACUUGUCUUUACUGGUAUGACUCAUUUCCUAAAUUCCAACUCCCUCCUCGAUCCUCUUCAGUCUGGCUUUCGCCUCCUCCACUCUACUGAAACUGCUCUUAUUAAAGUUACAAAUUACCUAAUCGCAGCCAAAUCCAG